This 666-nucleotide ribosomal RNA is filed under the name Acinetobacter baumannii. RNAcentral describes it as "bacterial SSU rRNA". It matches the Rfam family "Bacterial small subunit ribosomal RNA", at positions 165 to 825 of the family's 1533-position model. Lineage: Bacteria; Pseudomonadati; Pseudomonadota; Gammaproteobacteria; Moraxellales; Moraxellaceae. The record is from RNAcentral.
AAUACCGCAUACGUCCUACGGGAGAAAGCAGGGGAUCUUCGGACCUUGCGCUAAUAGAUGAGCCUAAGUCGGAUUAGCUAGUUGGUGGGGUAAAGGCCUACCAAGGCGACGAUCUGUAGCGGGUCUGAGAGGAUGAUCCGCCACACUGGGACUGAGACACGGCCCAGACUCCUACGGGAGGCAGCAGUGGGGAAUAUUGGACAAUGGGGGGAACCCUGAUCCAGCCAUGCCGCGUGUGUGAAGAAGGCCUUAUGGUUGUAAAGCACUUUAAGCGAGGAGGAGGCUACUUUAGUUAAUACCUAGAGAUAGUGGACGUUACUCGCAGAAUAAGCACCGGCUAACUCUGUGCCAGCAGCCGCGGUAAUACAGAGGGUGCGAGCGUUAAUCGGAUUUACUGGGCGUAAAGCGUGCGUAGGCGGCUUAUUAAGUCGGAUGUGAAAUCCCCGAGCUUAACUUGGGAAUUGCAUUCGAUACUGGUGAGCUAGAGUAUGGGAGAGGAUGGUAGAAUUCCAGGUGUAGCGGUGAAAUGCGUAGAGAUCUGGAGGAAUACCGAUGGCGAAGGCAGCCAUCUGGCCUAAUACUGACGCUGAGGUACGAAAGCAUGGGGAGCAAACAGGAUUAGAUACCCUGGUAGUCCAUGCCGUAAACGAUGUCUACUAGCCGUUG